Molecule: ribosomal RNA, 399 nt
Filed under: Triticum aestivum (bread wheat)
Lineage: Eukaryota; Viridiplantae; Streptophyta; Magnoliopsida; Poales; Poaceae
Description: partial small subunit ribosomal RNA
Source: RNAcentral
AUGCCACGUGCUGAUGGUCCCUUUAAGGUGUUAGAGAAAAUAAAUGAUAAUGCAUAUAAACUUGAGCUGCCUGCAGAUUUUGGGGUUAGUCCCACUUUUAACAUUGCAGAUUUGAAGCCUUAUUUGGGUGAGGAAGAUGAACUUCCGUCGAGGACGACUUCAUUUCAAGAAGGGGAGGAUGAUGAGGACAUCAAUACAAUUGUUACACCCACAGCCCCUGCUGCUAUACAUACUGGACCAAUUACUAGAGCUCGUGCACGCCAACUAAAUUACCAGGUACUUUCGUUUCUUGGUAAUGAUUCUAAUGUUCAUGAGAAUAUGAUGCUGCCUAAAUUGGAUACAUUUGUUUUGGUUACAAAUGAAGGGCCUAGCUUGGACAAGAAGGAUGAACAUUGGAGC